RNAcentral lists this ribosomal RNA (771 nucleotides) under Hysterothylacium aduncum. RNAcentral describes it as "eukaryotic LSU rRNA". The stretch from base 294 to 447 matches the Rfam family "5.8S ribosomal RNA". The record is from RNAcentral. Lineage: Eukaryota; Metazoa; Nematoda; Chromadorea; Rhabditida; Raphidascarididae.
UGUGAAGAGGGGGGAUAGGUGACGUAUUGGGCUAGUUAGAAAGGUACGUCGCGAGCGCCUAUCCUCUCGUUAUUGGCAAAAACGGUAUCCAUUUGGUGUCUACACCCUACCUAGCUACUGCCUGGACCGUCGGUAGCUAUCAAAGGUGGGGAUAAAGCUCCUCGUCAAAACGGCGAGUCGAGUAGACUUAAUGAGUCUCAGCGAGGAGGCCACCAAAACCCAAACACAACCAGUCAAAAAGUUUGAAAUGUUGUGAAGGUACUUCCUCGUGAAGUGCCUAAGAAACUGAGUAUAAAUCUUAGCGGUGGAUCACUCGGUUCGUGGAUCGAUGAAGAACGCAGCUAGCUGCGAUAACUAGUGCGAAUUGCAGACACAAAGAGCACUAAGAAUUCGAACGCACAUUGCGCCAUCGGGUUCAUUCCCGUUGGCACGUCUGGCUGAGGGUCGAAAAAGAAUAUCAAACAUCCGUGUGUUUUCCAACUCAUGGUGUAUUCGGCGAGCUAUGAUGGUGUUGUUGGCAAUGCUGCGUGUGUGUGUUGCGGCCUCAAAAAAGGAGAGGUCACUUCAUGUGCUCGAGGCAUGGCCGACGCGCCGACAUACCAAGCUAAGGCUUUGUGCCAUAUAUCGCUCGUAAUCAUUUGCUCCUGCGAGGCGAUGAUGGCCGUCAAGUGUCGCUCUCUUAACCAUAGAUACGGCUCCGAGCACGUGUUUGCCAAAAGGCUAUCGGUUUGGGGUGCCCGUAUCAGAAAAGCUGGAAAUGGAAGAGAGGGU